Molecule: ribosomal RNA, 427 nt
Filed under: uncultured bacterium
Lineage: Bacteria
Description: bacterial SSU rRNA
Rfam family: Bacterial small subunit ribosomal RNA
Source: RNAcentral
GGGCCCGCACAAGCAGUGGAGCAUGUGGUUUAAUUCGAUGCAACGCGAAGAACCUUACCCAGGCUUGACAUAUAGAGGACCGCUCUAGAGAUAGAGUUUCCCGCAAGGGCCUCUAUACAGGUGCUGCAUGGCUGUCGUCAGCUCGUGCCGUGAGGUGUUGGGUUAAGUCCCGCAACGAGCGCAACCCUUGUCGUUAGUUACCAACACGUAAUGGUGGGGACUCUAACGAGACUGCCUAGGUUAACUAGGAGGAAGGUGAGGAUGACGUCAAGUCCGCAUGGCCUUUAUGUCUGGGGCUACACACGUGCUACAAUGGUCGGUACAGAAGGCAGCGAAGCCGAAAGGUGGAGCAAAUCCCUAAAACCGAUCUCAGUUCGGAUAGAAGUCUGCAACUCGACUUCUUGAAGCUGGAAUCGCUAGUAAUCGG